CAGUAGCCGCGGGAAUACAGAGGGUGCGAGCGUUAAUCGGAUUUACUGGGCGUAAAGCGUGCGUAGGCGGCUUCUUAAGUCGGAUGUGAAAUCCCUGAGCUUAACUUAGGAAUUGCAUUCGAUACUGGGAAGCUAGAGUAUGGGAGAGGAUGGUAGAAUUCCAGGUGUAGCGGUGAAAUGCGUAGAGAUCUGGAGGAAUACCGAUGGCGAAGGCAGCCAUCUGGCCUAAUACUGACGCUGAGGUACGAAAGCAUGGGGAGCAAACAGGAUUAGAUACCCCAGUAGUUCCUGUCUCUUAUAA
RNAcentral lists this ribosomal RNA (301 nucleotides) under uncultured bacterium. RNAcentral's name for it is "partial 16S ribosomal RNA". It matches the Rfam family "Bacterial small subunit ribosomal RNA", at positions 509 to 809 of the family's 1533-position model. The record is from RNAcentral.